This 491-nucleotide ribosomal RNA is filed under the name uncultured bacterium. Its description in RNAcentral is "partial 16S ribosomal RNA". It matches the Rfam family "Bacterial small subunit ribosomal RNA", at positions 29 to 506 of the family's 1533-position model. The record is from RNAcentral.
AGUGAACGCUGGCGGUAGGCCUAACACAUGCAAGUCGAACGGCAGCACAGUAAGAGCUUGCUCUUACGGGUGGCGAGUGGCGGACGGGUGAGGAAUACAUCGGAAUCUACUUUUUCGUGGGGGAUAACGUAGGGAAACUUACGCUAAUACCGCAUACGACCUACGGGUGAAAGCAGGGGAUCUUCGGACCUUGCGCGAUUGAAUGAGCCGAUGUCGGAUUAGCUAGUUGGCGGGGUAAAGGCCCACCAAGGCGACGAUCCGUAGCUGGUCUGAGAGGAUGAUCGGCCACACUGGAACUGAGACACGGUCCAGAUUCCUACGGGAGGCAGCAGUGGGGAAUAUUGGACAAUGGGCGCAAGCCUGAUCCGGCCAUACCGCGUGGGUGAAGAAGGCCUUCGGGUUGUAAAGCCCUUUUGUUGGGAAAGAAAAGCAGCAGGUUAAUACCCCGCUGUUCUGACGGUACCCAAAGAAUAAGCACCGGCUAACUUCGU